CGACACGGUGACGUGGGGCGGAUCCCUGAAAACCGGUCUCAGUUCGGAUCGCAGUCUGCAACUCGACUGCGUGAAGGUGGAGUCGCUAGUAAUCGCGGAUCAGCAACGCCGCGGUGAAUGCGUUCCCGGGCCUUGUACACACCGCCCGUCAAGUCAUGAAAGUGGGCAGCACCCGAAGACGGUGGCCUAACCCUUGUGGGGGGAGCCGUCUAAGGUGAGGCUCGUGAUUGGGACUAAGUCGUAACAAGGUACC
Molecule: ribosomal RNA, 253 nt
Filed under: uncultured bacterium
Lineage: Bacteria
Description: partial 16S ribosomal RNA
Rfam family: Bacterial small subunit ribosomal RNA
Source: RNAcentral